CAGUCGCCGCGGGAAUACGGAGGGGGCUAGCGUUGUUCGGAAUUACUGGGCGUAAAGCGCACGUAGGCGGCUUGGUAAGUUAGAGGUGAAAACCUGAGCUCAACUCCAGAAUUGCCUUUAAGACUGCCGAGCUAGCAGGUGAGAGAGGUAAGUGGAAUUCCGAGUGUAGAGGUGAAAUUCGUAGAUAUUCGGAAGAACACCGGUGGCGAAGGCGGCUUACUGGCUCAUACUGGACGCUGAGGUGCGAAAGCGUGGGGAGCAAACAGGAUUAGAUACCCCCGUAGUCCCUGUCUCUUAUACA
RNAcentral lists this ribosomal RNA (301 nucleotides) under uncultured bacterium. RNAcentral's name for it is "partial 16S ribosomal RNA". It matches the Rfam family "Bacterial small subunit ribosomal RNA", at positions 509 to 808 of the family's 1533-position model. The record is from RNAcentral.